AGUGAACGCUGGCGGUAGGCCUAACACAUGCAAGUCGAACGGCAGCACAGUAGGAGCUUGCUCUUACGGGUGGCGAGUGGCGGACGGGUGAGGAAUACAUCGGAAUCUACUUUUUCGUGGGGGAUAACGUAGGGAAACUUACGCUAAUACCGCAUACGACCUACGGGUGAAAGCAGGGGAUCUUCGGACCUUGCGCGAUUGAAUGAGCCGAUGUCGGAUUAGCUAGUUGGCGGGGUAAAGGCCCACCAAGGCGACGAUCCGUAGCUGGUCUGAGAGGAUGAUCAGCCACACUGGAACUGAGACACGGUCCAGACUCCUACGGAAGGCAGCAGUGGGGAAUAUUGGACAAUGGGCGCAAGCCUGAUCCAGCCAUACCGCGUGGGUGAAGAAGGCCUUCGGGUUGUAAAGCCCUUUUGUUGGGAAAGAAAAGCAGCAGGUUAAUACCCCGCUGUUCUGACGGUACCCAAAGAAUAAGCACCGGCUAACUUCGUG
This 492-nucleotide ribosomal RNA is filed under the name uncultured bacterium. RNAcentral describes it as "partial 16S ribosomal RNA". It matches the Rfam family "Bacterial small subunit ribosomal RNA", at positions 29 to 507 of the family's 1533-position model. The record is from RNAcentral.